GAGACUCAGUGAAAUUGAACUCGCUGUGAAGAUGCAGUGUACCCGCGGCAAGACGGAAAGACCCCGUGAACCUUUACUAUAGCUUGACACUGAACACUGGUCCUUGAUGUGUAGGAUAGGUGGGAGGCUUUGAAGUGUGGACGCCAGUCUGCAUGGAGCCAUCCUUGAAAUACCACCCUUUAAUGGCUGGUGUUCUAACGUAGACCCGUAAUCCGGGUUGCGGACAGUGUCUGGUGGGUAGUUUGACUGGGGCGGUCUCCUCCUAAAGAGUAACGGAGGAGCACGAAGGUUAGCUAAUCCUGGUCGGACAUCAGGAGGUUAGUGCAAAGGCAUAAGCUAGCUUGACUGCGAGAGUGACGGCUCGAGCAGGUGCGAAAGCAGGUCUUAGUGAUCCGGUGGUUCUGAAUGGAAGGGCCAUCGCUCAACGGAUAAAAGGUACUCCGGGGAUAACAGGCUGAUACCGCCCAAGAGUUCAUAUCGACGGCGGUGUUUGGCACCUCGAUGUCGGCUCAUCACAUCCUGGGGCUGAAGUAGGUCCCAAGGGUAUGGCUGUUCGCCAUUUAAAGUGGUACGCGAGCUGGGUUUAGAACGUCGUG
This 596-nucleotide ribosomal RNA is filed under the name Citrobacter freundii. Its description in RNAcentral is "partial 23S ribosomal RNA". It matches the Rfam family "Bacterial large subunit ribosomal RNA", at positions 2028 to 2623 of the family's 2925-position model. Lineage: Bacteria; Pseudomonadati; Pseudomonadota; Gammaproteobacteria; Enterobacterales; Enterobacteriaceae. The record is from RNAcentral.